AUCGACAUCAUUUUUUCCUUCCCGUACUUUUUAGUUUGCGAAAGUUUUCACAUCGUGGUUUUGACAGAUUUUUGAUUGCUUAAAAAAUAUUAACCGCACUGAAUGCCCCCAGAAAGACUUGCGCGAACACCCGAAAGCCGUUCUCACUUAUUUAUUUGAAUAUGUGGAUGAACGUUGAAAACAACCAAUUUCACACGAUAUUGCAUGAGCAAUGGAGAAAGCUGUAAAAAACGUAUUGUAUUUCUUCAACGAUGUACUUCGAAGUGUUGGUCGAGAGGGCAAAUGGACCAGUGAAGCACUGGAGAAAGCUGUGAACUGGGCUUACUACUGCGAGAAGGUCUAUAUCGAAGCCGUCGAUAAGGGUUUGGCAGACCAGCUAAGUGAUGCCCUGAACGGAUCGGCCGGAUGUACCGACUCGGAGAAGUUCAUCCCUAGCCUGGAGAGUUUAAGAAAUGCACCACAGCUCCUUUUUAUGGAAUUGCUGAGGCAGUCUUCGUUGAAACCAGCCAUUUCAAAUUUUCUUCUCACAUCGAGGCUUAUGAGUGAGCCCUGGGCAAGAGACGUCAUCUUUGACACAUUCACUACGAGCUCUGUCGCGAAGAGCUUGACCAAUGCUGAAAAUGAUGCAAGAUGAGAUUGCUUAGUAGAAAUAAACUUCAAACUGUAAGAGAAUCCUCUAUUAUUAGGUACCGUAAUUUCACGCGUAUAAACGCACCGCAGAUAAGACGCAGAACCAGUUUUUAGCAACGUUUUCGGGCACAUAAGCCACGGGCAAUACGACGCCACUGUGCGACAAAGGAGACCGUAGAGAAGGCCAUAAACCCUGUGGUCCAUACUCCGGGGUCAGCAUGAUGUAUAACACAGAAGUCAUUGCCAUGAUGGAUUCCUUGGUUUGAGCCAGGAACUGUGCUCCAUCUAAAUUCUGCAAAUGUACGUUUGACACAGUGAAAACUGUGGUUUGCACACAAACUACAGUAUAAUGGACACAUUGAUUUGCAGGAUGUGGACCUGUAUCAAAAGCUUUUCCACCGCACUUAUCCAGUGCAUUGCAUAAAUGUGAAGCAAAGUAAGCUGCUUGUUUGUUGAAUAAAGAGAAGUGAGAGA
RNA transcript from Ornithodoros turicata, 1104 nucleotides. RefSeq lists it as uncharacterized. The record is from RefSeq and is a predicted model, not a curated record. NCBI's taxonomy places the organism in Eukaryota, Metazoa, Arthropoda, Arachnida, Ixodida, Argasidae. The transcript is spliced from 6 exons.